This 253-nucleotide ribosomal RNA is filed under the name uncultured bacterium. RNAcentral describes it as "partial 16S ribosomal RNA". It matches the Rfam family "Bacterial small subunit ribosomal RNA", at positions 524 to 776 of the family's 1533-position model. The record is from RNAcentral.
UACGGAGGGUGCAAGCGUUAUCCGGAUUUACUGGGUUUAAAGGGUGCGUAGGUGGGCAGUUAAGUCAGUGGUGAAAUCUCCGGGCUUAACCCGGAAACUGCCAUUGAUACUAUCUGUCUUGAAUAUCGCGGAGGUAAGCGGAAUAUGUCAUGUAGCGGUGAAAUGCUUAGAUAUGACAUAGAACACCAAUUGCGAAGGCAGCUUACUACCCGAAUAUUGACACUGAGGCACGAAAGCGUGGGGAUCAAACAGG